Molecule: ribosomal RNA, 398 nt
Filed under: uncultured bacterium
Lineage: Bacteria
Description: bacterial SSU rRNA
Rfam family: Bacterial small subunit ribosomal RNA
Source: RNAcentral
GGAAUAUUGGACAAUGGGCGAAAGCCUGAUCCAGCAAUGCCGCGUGAGUGAUGAAGGCCUUAGGGUUGUAAAGCUCUUUUACCCGGGAUGAUAAUGACAGUACCGGGAGAAUAAGCUCCGGCUAACUCCGUGCCAGCAGCCGCGGUAAUACGGAGGGAGCUAGCGUUGUUCGGAAUUACUGGGCGUAAAGCGCACGUAGGCGGCGCCGCAAGUCAGGGGUGAAAUCCCGGGGCUCAACCCCGGAACUGCCCUUGAAACUGCAGUGCUAGAAUCCUGGAGAGGCGAGUGGAAUUCCGAGUGUAGAGGUGAAAUUCGUAGAUAUUCGGAAGAACACCAGUGGCGAAGGCGGCCAGCUGGACCAGUUCUGACGCUGAGACGCGAAAGCGUGGGGAGCAAAC